GCAUUGGUGGUUCAGCAGUAGAAUUCUUGCCUUCUAUGCAGGAGAUCUAGGUUGAAUGCCCAGCCGAUGUG
RNAcentral lists this transfer RNA (71 nucleotides) under Loxodonta africana (African savanna elephant). It matches the Rfam family "tRNA". From Rfam's summary of the family: Transfer RNA (tRNA) molecules are approximately 80 nucleotides in length. Their secondary structure includes four short double-helical elements and three loops (D, anti-codon, and T loops). Further hydrogen bonds mediate the characteristic L-shaped molecular structure. tRNAs have two regions of fundamental functional importance: the anti-codon, which is responsible for specific mRNA codon recognition, and the 3' end, to which the tRNAs corresponding amino acid is attached (by aminoacyl-tRNA synthetases). tRNAs cope with the degeneracy of the genetic code in two manners: having more than one tRNA (with a specific anti-codon) for a particular amino acid; and 'wobble' base-pairing, i.e. permitting non-standard base-pairing at the 3rd anti-codon position. Lineage: Eukaryota; Metazoa; Chordata; Mammalia; Proboscidea; Elephantidae. The record is from Rfam by way of RNAcentral.